RNAcentral lists this unclassified non-coding RNA (387 nucleotides) under soil metagenome. RNAcentral's name for it is "partial contains 5.8S ribosomal RNA, internal transcribed spacer 2, and large subunit ribosomal RNA". The stretch from base 1 to 120 matches the Rfam family "5.8S ribosomal RNA", at positions 35 to 154 of the family's 154-position model. The record is from RNAcentral.
GAUGAAGAACGCAGCGAAAUGCGAUAAGUAAUGUGAAUUGCAGAAUUCAGUGAAUCAUCGAAUCUUUGAACGCACCUUGCACCCUUUGGUAUUCCGAAGGGUAUGCUCGUUUGAGUGUCAUUGUACUCUCACACUUCUAAUUCCUUUCGGGAUUGGGAGCGGUGGACUUGGGUGUUGCUGCUUUAGUUGUGGCUCACCUCAAAUAAGUUAGUACAACUCUUGGUUGGACAUAGUACGGCGUGAUAAGUGUCUUCGCCGGCGCCUCUGUAAGGAGGGUGGCCGAUCGGGAGCUCUGUGCUUCAAACCGUCUUCGGACAAUCUUUGACAACUUGACCUCAAAUCGAGUAGGACUACCCGCUGAACUUAAGCAUAUCAAUAAGCGGAGGA